This 301-nucleotide ribosomal RNA is filed under the name uncultured bacterium. Its description in RNAcentral is "partial 16S ribosomal RNA". It matches the Rfam family "Bacterial small subunit ribosomal RNA", at positions 509 to 809 of the family's 1533-position model. The record is from RNAcentral.
CAGUCGCCGCGGGAAUACGUAGGUGGCAAACGUUGUCCGGAAUUAUUGGGCGUAAAGGGAGCGCAGGCGGACAUAUAAGUCCAUCUUAAAAGUGCGGGGCUCAACCCCGUGAGGGGAUGGAAACUGUAUGCCUUGAGUGCAGGAGAGGAAAGCGGAAUUCCCAGUGCAGCGGUGAAAUGCGUAGAUAUUAGGAAGAACACCAGUGGCGAAGGCGACUUUCUGGACGAAAACUGACGCUGAGGCGCGAAAGCCAGGGGAGCGAACGGGAUUAGAUACCCCAGUAGUCCCUGUCUCUUAUACA